GAGUAGUACGAGCGAGAGUCGGCGGUACUACGGAGGGUGCAAGCGGUAAGCGGAAUGACUGGGCGUAAAGCGCAGGACGGCCGUCUGUCAAGUCGGAUGGGAAAUCCCCGAGCACAACCUGGGGACAGAAUUCGGAACGGGCAGGGUGGAGUCUUGUAGAGGGGGGUAGAAUUCCAGGUGUAGCGGUGAAAUGCGUAGAGAUCUGGAGGAAUACCGGUGGCGAAGGCGGCCCCCUGGACAAAGACUGACGCUCAGGUGCGAAAGCGUGGGGAGCAAACAGGAUUAGAUACCCGAGUAGUC
Molecule: ribosomal RNA, 300 nt
Filed under: uncultured Aquifex sp.
Lineage: Bacteria; Pseudomonadati; Aquificota; Aquificia; Aquificales; Aquificaceae
Description: bacterial SSU rRNA
Rfam family: Bacterial small subunit ribosomal RNA
Source: RNAcentral